Non-coding RNA from Podarcis lilfordi (Lilford's wall lizard), 70 nucleotides. The record is from the annotation of a GenBank genome assembly. NCBI's taxonomy places the organism in Eukaryota, Metazoa, Chordata, Lepidosauria, Squamata, Lacertidae.
GGCCAUAGCUCAGUGGUAGAGCAUCUGCCUUGCAAGCAGAAGGUCCCAGGUUCAAUCCCCACCAUCUCCA